UCUAGCUCCUGCAUACCCUUGUGUUUACCCGCUCAGUGGGCUGGUGCCACCGCCUCCCGCUGCUUCUACACUUUUUCAUUGCUCCCUCCAACACACCUGUGAACCUGCUCUCCUUUGAUGCCCAUGGGGGCUUUGCUGUGAUCACUCCCGGUGCUCUUAUCUGCUGCUCAAUAUGUUUUUACAAGGAGUGAUAAGACACACAGCACUGGUGCCAAAUCACCGUCCCAGAUGUCCGUGGAGGAAGGAAGCAAAUGCUGACAACAAUGAAGUAAACGAGUCCACCGGUGUAGCAGCAACUUUUGGCACGGACGAUAGCUUGCCUUACAGGGAAAACAGCUUUCCGCAGAAGCCUAAGCAUAUGGUCGGCUCCUGUUUCGACAACAAGAUGCCGUGUCACCUUGCUAGCCACCUGUAGCCGGCGACCAGCCGACAGAGAGGGGGAUUUAAGUGCGUCUCCCGCUUAGAGAGUAGCAGGCCACCAGCUGCCCCUCCAUUUAAGAUCCUAACACCAGAGUAAGGAAAAGGGCAACAGAGAGCGCUGCCAUCCCUGCCCCCAGCCGCCCAACCACCUGUUUGACAUUCUGCCCUCUGGAUAAGACUUCCAGUGCAGCAGCGGCUGCGAUGCCUCCCUGAGCAGGAGCAUAACCGAACACUGGGCUCGCCCAAUAGGCUUCUACUGAGUGACAUUAGAAAAGAUGCAUACAUCACUAUAGUGCAUCUUGCGCUCACUCGGUCCAGCUACAAACAAAGGUCACGCACAUUGGACGCCUAGUAUGUUAUGCAUGUUAUCUGAAUAAUAAUGCGAU
This 806-nucleotide long non-coding RNA is filed under the name Cottoperca gobio. Its description in RNAcentral is "lncRNA (ENSCGOG00000024674.1)". The record is from RNAcentral. Lineage: Eukaryota; Metazoa; Chordata; Actinopteri; Perciformes; Bovichtidae.